AACACCGAAAGGGGAGAUUCACGCUUUCUCGCAUGAGUCGGCUCCCGCAAGGUCAGAUGGCGUCGUUCGCCCGCUCGGUGCAAGCCGUUGCGGGGUCGUUACGGUGAUCACUCGGCGCUUGUGGGGGUUAUGCCGGCCGCGGUGGGCCGCACUUCUCCCUCAGUAGGACGUCGCGACCCGUUGGACGACGGUCGACGGCCCCGGUGGUAGCCCGAAAUGAAGUCUUCGGACUCUCGUCUCGGACCCUGGGAGUCCUGGCCGAUCGUCAGACGGUAUGGAACGCAGGUGUCGGACCGCCCCUUAUAGGGCGUCCGGGCCGGUCGCAAGCUCGGGCGUUCGCUCGGGAUGACGGACCUUGUGUCCGGCUCCCGGGCCCGUCCAGCUGUUGGCGGCCGCGUCCUCGGACGGGUCUUGUAACACCGGUCAGCGAUGUCAGUUUA
This 440-nucleotide ribosomal RNA is filed under the name Evacanthinae gen. 2 sp. 2 TRH-2019. RNAcentral describes it as "partial large subunit ribosomal RNA". Lineage: Eukaryota; Metazoa; Arthropoda; Insecta; Hemiptera; Cicadellidae. The record is from RNAcentral.